CCGAGCGACGCACCUUAAAAGAAAUUAGAAUAUGGCUCAAUAAAACAGGAAAACAUCCUCCUCCUGAUAUCAAUAUUAGUAGUGAUGAUGCAAAUAAUAAUAUUAUGACAACUCCUGUAAAGACGCCACUCACCGUUAAGGCACAAGGGUCGCUUGUAGUUUCAAGUGACGGCAGGACGGCAAAGUCCACACAGGGAUGAAGAUGAGGACAGGAAUAGAUGACUGGCACUUUAAAACUCAGAUCAUUCAUGGAAAGCCAUCAUCUUUAUUAAAAUGCCACAGCUAGUACAACACAAGUGCCACUACUGUUUAUAAUUCCUGCAGCCCUUUCAGUCGGGUAGAUGCGUAAUAUCUCGUAAGUACCCAUCUGCAUCUGUCAACGGGUGUGUGGAAUUAAACUCAUGUGCAUUCUGCUUCUGUUUGACCUUGGCUGUGGACCCUUGGUCUUUUAAUGUCAAAUAAGCAUCAGUAAUCCCAGGCACCGCUUGACAGGCUUCAAGAGUCAUUAGUUUUCUUUCCCAGCUCAUAAGCUUUAUCAAUUGCCCCUUUGUGUAAUGAUUUUGUGUACAAAUUCACACAAGCAUAGUGUUUGGCCUUGUAAAAAUAUACUGCCUUCAAUUCGUGCUAGUAUACCAGCAUAGAUACACACCUUUUUUUUAAUCACCUCGAUUUUUAAAAAAAAUUUAGUAGAGAGGAAAUGUCCUUUUUGCAUGCUUGAUCAGCCAGUGGAAAAAUCCAAUAUAAUGGAGGUUCAAGGUGAAUUGCAUCACCGUGUUAACCCCCAUCUGGGACUGAAGGAAAAUUCCCAAGCUGAAUAAACAAAUCACACAGACAAACACCAAUGUGGUCAUGAAAUAAAUAUUGAUUAGACUGCAUUUCAUACAUAGAUGAAAAUUGCCUUUUUGGCCAAUUGAUGUUGGCCUUUUCAAUACAAUUGAGAAUGAGCCAAGUUUGAAGUUGUCAGGGGUGGAGGAAUGAAGCAAGUGAGGAAGACGAGAGAUUUCAUAGAGUUGAAAAAGGGACAUGCUGCCGCUUUCUUAGCUCAUUAUCAUUCCUAAUAAGUCUUAAGGAAUGAAGGAGCGUUGAGUGUAAAUGCACGGUAAUCCUUCUACUGUCCAAGGUUAGGAGGGACGUCAGCACAGACGCACCAUUCCCAGCUGGCCACUUUGGGACCAGAGGCGCACCAUAUAGGAUAGUUGUUCAAGGAGAAAGUGAGGGCGU
Molecule: long non-coding RNA, 1221 nt
Organism: Corythoichthys intestinalis (scribbled pipefish)
Lineage: Eukaryota; Metazoa; Chordata; Actinopteri; Syngnathiformes; Syngnathidae
Exons: 4
Source: RefSeq, a predicted model, not a curated record